Non-coding RNA from Caenorhabditis elegans, 305 nucleotides. NCBI's taxonomy places the organism in Eukaryota, Metazoa, Nematoda, Chromadorea, Rhabditida, Rhabditidae. The record is from Ensembl.
UGUGUGCCAAAAAUAAUUCCGGUUGGUGAGGAUGCUAGUCUCUCUUUCUCUCUAUCGCUUCUUUUCUUUCAUUUUCGGACUCCAACCUGAGCCGGACGGCGAGCACCUUAAUUGAUGCUCCACCCGGCUCGUUUCGCCUCUUGAAUGUUUGUUUUUCCGCGCGCGGCGUCUCUUCUGUACUCCGUGUGCUCCCGUUUUGUGCGCUCACCCGAUGACGGCGGACGACGGUCCAUCAUCCAUCGCGGGUUGGAUCACGGUAUCUUUGUGGCAAGCAAAAAUAUCGUCUCUUUCUCUUUACCGCGCUC